UUACAUUGAAAAGAUAUUAAAUUUAAUUAAUUUGAGGGGGAAAAAUUAAUAAUUAUUAUAUUA
RNAcentral lists this transfer RNA (63 nucleotides) under Papilio bianor (Chinese peacock). RNAcentral's name for it is "tRNA-Val". Lineage: Eukaryota; Metazoa; Arthropoda; Insecta; Lepidoptera; Papilionidae. The record is from RNAcentral.